GAUGAAGAACGCAGCGAACUGCGAUAAGUAAUGCGAAUUGCAGAAUUCAGUGAAUCAUCGAGUCUUUGAACGCACAUUGCGCCCCCUGGUAUUCCGGGGGGCAUGCCUGUCCGAGCGUCAUUGCCGCCCUCAAGCACGGCUUGUGUGUUGGGCCCCCGCCCCCCGGCUUCGGGGGGCGGGCCCGAAAGGCAGCGGCGGCACCGCGUCCGGUCCUCGAGCGUAUGGGGCUUCGUCACCCGCUCUGUAGGCCCGGCCGGCGCCCGCCGGCGACCCCAAUCAAUCUUUCCAGGUUGACCUCGGAUCAGGUAGGGAUACCCGCUGAACUUAAGCAUAUCAAUAAGCGGAGGA
RNAcentral lists this unclassified non-coding RNA (348 nucleotides) under soil metagenome. RNAcentral's name for it is "partial contains 5.8S ribosomal RNA, internal transcribed spacer 2, and large subunit ribosomal RNA". The stretch from base 1 to 120 matches the Rfam family "5.8S ribosomal RNA", at positions 35 to 154 of the family's 154-position model. The record is from RNAcentral.